RNAcentral lists this ribosomal RNA (253 nucleotides) under uncultured bacterium. Its description in RNAcentral is "partial 16S ribosomal RNA". It matches the Rfam family "Bacterial small subunit ribosomal RNA", at positions 524 to 776 of the family's 1533-position model. The record is from RNAcentral.
UACGGGGGGGGCAAGCGUUGUUCGGAAUUACUGGGCGUAAAGAGCUCGUAGGUGGUUUGUCGCGUUGUUCGUGAAAACUCACAGCUUAACUGUGGGCGUGCGGGCGAUACGGGCAGACUAGAGUACUGCAGGGGAGACUGGAAUUCCUGGUGUAGCGGUGGAAUGCGCAGAUAUCAGGAGGAACACCGGUGGCGAAGGCGGGUCUCUGGGCAGUAACUGACGCUGAGGAGCGAAAGCGUGGGGAGCGAACAGG